RNAcentral lists this long non-coding RNA (1326 nucleotides) under Mus musculus (house mouse). Its description in RNAcentral is "predicted gene, 41142". The record is from RNAcentral. Lineage: Eukaryota; Metazoa; Chordata; Mammalia; Rodentia; Muridae.
GGACUCUUCCAUCUCCGGCUGGCCUGCAGCAGACUCAUCUUCCAGCUCACCUAUAGCUCAUCAUCCUAUCCACUAGCAACAAUUAGGAUUGCUAGCUCUUAGCUCUGUAGCCAGAGCCUGCAACUACUGGUAUACCCUGAAAGUGAGGACUGAACUUGCUCCAUAGACUUCAAACUCACAGAGCAGUGGGAGAGAUGAACGAGGAUGGGACCUCUACACACACAUUCAACAAGAAAUAGUCUAAUGAUGUCGCUCCUUUCCCCCAACCCUGACUGUACAUCAAUGUCUGCCUGCAGACACCUGAGCAGACACAGGUGAGACCUGAGACCUCAAAAGCAAACAUUCACAGAAAGUAUAUGAUGGGCCAAACCUGGAAACUGGAGGAGAGACAGGAGCAUGUUGUUCUCUGAGAGGCUCCACCCAGCAGCUGACUCAAACAGAUACAGAUACCCACAGCCAAACAGUGGAUGGAGCUUGUGGACUCUUAAGAAGAAUAGGAGGAAGGAUUUCAGGGCCCAAAGGGGAUAGGAACUCCACAAGAAGACUAACAGAGUCAACUCACCUGGACCCUUGGGUCUCUCAGAGUCUGAACCAUCAACCAAAGAACAUAGACAGGCUGCACCUAGGCCUCCCAGAUGUGUAGCAGAUGUGCAGCUUGGUCUUCAUGUGAGUCCUAAAAAAUCUGGAGUAUUAGCUAUCCCAAAAGUUGUUGCUAGUAAGUGAGAUAUGUUCUACUAGCUAAGCUGCCUUGUCUGGCCUCAAAGAGACUUGCAGUGCCAGGGUAGGGGGCAUACACAGGCUCUCCCUCCACUCUGAGAAGAAGGGGAGGGGGAGGGAUUAUGGGAGGAGUUAACUGAAAGGAGGAGCAGUGAACAGGGUGUAAAGUGAGUACGUAAAAAACAGUAAAAUUGAAUAAAAGAUUCCAGUGUAGCUUUCAUCAAUACUCAGCUGGAUCUCCUCAGAAUCUAUGAAGCUGAGAGUCAACCUCUGUGCAGGAUGAAAGUCACCACACAGCCUCUGGAUAAUUUUCAGUUGGCAUAUUGUAUACACUUUUUUAGCUGAUUUCACAUUAUCUAACAACACUCCACAUAGCCCUUGAACAUCAUAAUAUCUAGUUUGCCAGCUAAAUGAUAUAUAGUUCCUAUUGGCCACAGGCUUAUCAUUAUGUGUGAGUUUCUAGAUCAUUCUUUGAGGCCCUAAUGGAUAGUGCCUGAAAACCUAUCACCCACUUCUGGCAUAAUAUUCACAGCAUUUCAUGCAAAGCCUUUGAUCUGUGAUAAAAAAUAAAGUCCAUAGCAGGAUAAUCCUGUAAUGUGUUGGCCACUA